GAGGAAGGCAGACCCAGGGAACUGAAACAUCUAAGUACCUGGAGGAAGAGAAAGAAAAAUCGAUUUCCUGAGUAGCGGCGAGCGAAACGGAAAGAGCCCAAACCAAGAAGCUUGCUUCUUGGGGUUGGAGGACACUCUAUACGGAGUUACAAAAGAAAGUUAUAAAUGAAGCGGUCUGGAAAGGCCCGCCAAAGACGGUAACAGCCCGGUAGUUGAAAUGGCUUUCCCUCCAGAGUGGAUCCUGAGUACGGCGGA
This 255-nucleotide ribosomal RNA is filed under the name Listeria monocytogenes. RNAcentral describes it as "partial 23S ribosomal RNA". It matches the Rfam family "Bacterial large subunit ribosomal RNA", at positions 172 to 421 of the family's 2925-position model. The record is from RNAcentral. Lineage: Bacteria; Bacillati; Bacillota; Bacilli; Caryophanales; Listeriaceae.